GAUGAACGCUGGCGGCGUGCCUAAUACAUGCAAGUCGAGCGAACGGACGAGAAGCUUGCUUCUCUGAUGUUAGCGGCGGACGGGUGAGUAACACGUGGAUAACCUACCUAUAAGACUGGGAUAACUUCGGGAAAACGUAGCUAAUACCGGAUAAUAUUUUGAACCGCAUGGUUCAAAAGUGAAAGACGGUCUUGCUGUCACUUAUAGAUGGAUCCGCGCUGCAUUAGCUAGUUGGUAAGGUAACGGCUUACCAAGGCAACGAUGCAUAGCCGACCUGAGAGGGUGAUCGGCCACACUGGAACUGAGACACGGCCCAGACUCCUACGGGAGGCAGCAGUAGGGAAUCUUCCGCAAUGGGCGAAAGCCUGACGGAGCAACGCCGCGUGAGUGAUGAAGGUCUUCGGAUCGUAAAACUCUGUUAUUAGGGAAGAACAUAUGUGUAAGUAACUGUGCACAGCUUGACGGUACCUAAUCAGAAAGCCACGGCUAACUACGUG
RNAcentral lists this ribosomal RNA (497 nucleotides) under uncultured bacterium. RNAcentral's name for it is "partial 16S ribosomal RNA". It matches the Rfam family "Bacterial small subunit ribosomal RNA", at positions 28 to 507 of the family's 1533-position model. The record is from RNAcentral.